UACAGAGGGGGCGAGCGUUGUUCGGAAUUACUGGGCGUAAAGGGCGCGUAGGCGGCCUUCUAAGUCGAACGUGAAAUCCCCGGGCUCAACCCGGGAACUGCGUCCGAUACUGGGAGGCUUGAAUCCGGGAGAGGGAUGUGGAAUUCCAGGUGUAGCAGUGAAAUGCGUAGAUAUCUGGAGGAACACCGAUGGCGAAGGCAGCCCCCUGGGCUAACACUGACGCUCAUGCACGAAAGCGUGGGGAGCAAACAGG
This 253-nucleotide ribosomal RNA is filed under the name uncultured bacterium. RNAcentral describes it as "partial 16S ribosomal RNA". It matches the Rfam family "Bacterial small subunit ribosomal RNA", at positions 524 to 776 of the family's 1533-position model. The record is from RNAcentral.